This 252-nucleotide ribosomal RNA is filed under the name uncultured bacterium. RNAcentral's name for it is "partial 16S ribosomal RNA". It matches the Rfam family "Bacterial small subunit ribosomal RNA", at positions 524 to 775 of the family's 1533-position model. The record is from RNAcentral.
UACGAAGGGUGCAAGCGUUACUCGGAAUUACUGGGCGUAAAGCGUGCGUAGGUGGUUUGUUAAGUCUGCUGUGAAAGCCCCGGGCUCAACCUGGGAAUGGCAGUGGAUACUGGCAAGCUAGAGUGCGGUAGAGGGGUGUGGAAUUCCCGGUGUAGCGGUGAAAUGCGUAGAGAUCGGGAGGAACACCAGUGGCGAAGGCGGCACCCUGGACCAGCACUGACACUGAGGCACGAAAGCGUGGGGAGCAACAGG